AACAAGUUAAACUACCAUCCUCAAAUGUAAGCAACAAGGAAGCAAUCAUAAUUACAAGGAAACGGUCAUUCUUUAUACAAGUUAAACUCCUAUCCUCAAAUGUCAGCAACAAGGAAGCAAUCAUAGUUACAAGGAAGUGAUCAUAACCUAUUACAAGG
Non-coding RNA from Hydra vulgaris (swiftwater hydra), 158 nucleotides. Lineage: Eukaryota; Metazoa; Cnidaria; Hydrozoa; Anthoathecata; Hydridae. The record is from RefSeq and is a predicted model, not a curated record.